GACGAACGCUGGCGGCGUGCCUAACACAUGCAAGUCGAACGGAAAGGCCCUGCUCUUGUGGGGCGCUCGAGUGCCGAACGGGUGAGUAACACGCGAGUAACCUGCCCCUGACUUUGGGAUAACUCCAGGAAACUCGGGCUCAUACCGGAUAGGAGCUCCUGCUGCACGGUGGGGGAUGGAAAGAUUCGGCGGUAGGGGAUGGACUAGCGGCUUAUCAGCUUGUUGGUGGGGUAGUGGCUUACCAAGGCUUUGACGGGUAGCCGGCCUGGGAGGGUGGCCGGCCACAAUGGGACUAAGAUACGGACCAGACGCCUACGGGAGGCAGCGGUGGGGAAUAUUACGCAAUAGGCGGAAGCCAGAUGCAGCGGCGCCGGGUGCGGGAUGACGGCCUUCGGGUUGUGAACCGCUUUCGCCUGUGACGAAGCGUGAGUGACGGUAAUGGGUAAAGAAGCACCGGCUAACUACGUG
RNAcentral lists this ribosomal RNA (468 nucleotides) under uncultured bacterium. Its description in RNAcentral is "partial 16S ribosomal RNA". It matches the Rfam family "Bacterial small subunit ribosomal RNA", at positions 28 to 507 of the family's 1533-position model. The record is from RNAcentral.